Molecule: ribosomal RNA, 881 nt
Filed under: Curvularia hawaiiensis
Lineage: Eukaryota; Fungi; Ascomycota; Dothideomycetes; Pleosporales; Pleosporaceae
Description: eukaryotic LSU rRNA
Rfam family: Eukaryotic large subunit ribosomal RNA
Source: RNAcentral
ACAACAGGGAUUGCCCUAGUAACGGCGAGUGAAGCGGCAACAGCUCAAAUUUGAAAUCUGGCUCUUUCAGAGUCCGAGUUGUAAUUUGCAGAGGGCGCUUUGGCUUUGGCAGCGGUCCAAGUUCCUUGGAACAGGACGUCACAGAGGGUGAGAAUCCCGUACGUGGUCGCUAGCUAUUGCCGUGUAAAGCCCCUUCGACGAGUCGAGUUGUUUGGGAAUGCAGCUCUAAAUGGGAGGUAAAUUUCUUCUAAAGCUAAAUAUUGGCCAGAGACCGAUAGCGCACAAGUAGAGUGAUCGAAAGAUGAAAAGCACUUUGGAAAGAGAGUCAAACAGCACGUGAAAUUGUUGAAAGGGAAGCGCUUGCAGCCAGACUUGCUUGCAGUUGCUCAUCCGGGCUUUUGCCCGGUGCACUCUUCUGCAGGCAGGCCAGCAUCAGUUUGGGCGGUGGGAUAAAGGUCUCUGUCACGUACCAUCCUUCGGGAUGGCCAUAUAGGGGAGACGUCAUACCACCAGCCUGGACUGAGGUCCGCGCAUCUGCUAGGAUGCUGGCGUAAUGGCUGUAAGCGGCCCGUCUUGAAACACGGACCAAGGAGUCUAACAUCUAUGCGAGUGUUUGGGUGUCAAGCCCGAGCGCGUAAUGAAAGUGAACGGAGGUGGGAACCCGCAAGGGUGCACCAUCGACCGAUCCUGAAGUUUACGGAAGGAUUUGAGUAAGAGCAUGGCUGUUGGGACCCGAAAGAUGGUGAACUAUGCUUGAAUAGGGUGAAGCCAGAGGAAACUCUGGUGGAGGCUCGCAGCGGUUCUGACGUGCAAAUCGAUCGUCAAAUUUGGGCAUAGGGGCGAAAGACUAAUCGAACUAUCUAGUAGCUGGUUCCUGCCGA